AUUGAACGCUGGCGGCAGGCCUAACACAUGCAAGUCGAACGAGUGGCGGACGGGUGAGUAAUGUCUGGGAAACUGCCUGAUGGAGGGGGAUAACUACUGGAAACGGUAGCUAAUACCGCAUACUAUCAGAUGAGCCUAGGUCGGAUUAGCUAGUUGGUGGGGUAAAGGCCUACCAAGGCGACGAUCGGUAACUGGUCUGAGAGGAUGAUCGGUAACACUGGAACUGAGACAGGGUCCAGACUCCUGGGGGAGGCAGCAGUGGGGAAUAUGGGACAAGGGGCGAAAGCCUGAUCCAGCCAGGCCGCGUGUGGGAAGAAGGUCUUGGGAUUGUAAAGCACUUUAAGUUGGGAGGCGUUACCAACAGAAUAAGCACCGGCUAACUCCGUGCCAGCAGCCGCGGUAAUAC
Molecule: ribosomal RNA, 406 nt
Filed under: uncultured bacterium
Lineage: Bacteria
Description: partial 16S ribosomal RNA
Rfam family: Bacterial small subunit ribosomal RNA
Source: RNAcentral